This 443-nucleotide ribosomal RNA is filed under the name uncultured bacterium. RNAcentral's name for it is "partial 16S ribosomal RNA". It matches the Rfam family "Bacterial small subunit ribosomal RNA", at positions 338 to 795 of the family's 1533-position model. The record is from RNAcentral.
CCUACGGGUGGCAGCAGUGGGGAAUAUUGCACAAUGGGCGAAAGCCUGAUGCAGCAACGCCGCGUGAAGGAAGAAGGGUUUCGGCUUGUAAACUUCUUUUCACAGGGACGAAAGAAAUGACGGUACCUGAAUAAUAAGCCACGGCUAACUACGUGCCAGCAGCCGCGGUAAUACGUAGGGGGCAAGCGUUAUCCGGAUUUACUGGGUGUAAAGGGUGAGUAGGCGGCAUGGUAAGCCAGAUGUGAAAGCCCUGGGCUUAACCCGGAGAUUGCAUUUGAAACUGUCAAGCUUGAGUACAGGAGAGGAAAGCGGAAUUCCUUGUGUAGCGGUGAAAUGCGUAGAUAUUAGGAAGAACACCAGUGGCGAAGGCGGCUUUCUGGACUGAAACUGACGCUGAGGCGCGAAAGCGUGGGGAGCAAACAGGAUUAGAUACCCUAGUAGUC